Molecule: ribosomal RNA, 253 nt
Filed under: uncultured bacterium
Lineage: Bacteria
Description: partial 16S ribosomal RNA
Rfam family: Bacterial small subunit ribosomal RNA
Source: RNAcentral
UACAGAGGGGGCAAGCGUUGUUCGGAAUUACUGGGCGUAAAGGGCGCGUAGGCGGCCUGUUAAGUCGAACGUGAAAUCCCCGGGCUCAACCCGGGAACUGCGUCCGAUACUGGCAGGCUUGAAUUCGGGAGAGGGAUGUGGAAUUCCAGGUGUAGCGGUGAAAUGCGUAGAUAUCUGGAGGAACACCGGUGGCGAAGGCGGCAUCCUGGACCGGUUCUGACGCUGAUGCGCGAAAGCGUGGGUAGCAAACAGG